AGAGAGGUAGUAUAAAUUUAUUACGUUAAGCUUAUUACUUAAAGAUCUUCUCAAGCCUUUCCA
This 63-nucleotide transfer RNA is filed under the name Salpa fusiformis. Its description in RNAcentral is "tRNA-Met". The record is from RNAcentral. Lineage: Eukaryota; Metazoa; Chordata; Thaliacea; Salpida; Salpidae.